UACGUAGGGUGCAAGCGUUGUCCGGAAUUACUGGGCGUAAAGGGCUCGUAGGCGGCCAACUAAGUCAGACGUGAAAUCCCUCGGCUUAACCGGGGAACUGCAUCUGAUACUGGAUGGCUUGAGAUUGGGAGAGGGAUGCGGAAUUCCAGGUGUAGCGGUGAAAUGCGUAGAUAUCUGGAGGAACACCGGUGGCGAAGGCGGCAUCCUGGACCAACACUGACGCUGAGGAGCGAAAGCCAGGGGAGCAAACGGG
Molecule: ribosomal RNA, 253 nt
Filed under: uncultured bacterium
Lineage: Bacteria
Description: partial 16S ribosomal RNA
Rfam family: Bacterial small subunit ribosomal RNA
Source: RNAcentral